This 281-nucleotide ribosomal RNA is filed under the name Pseudo-nitzschia fraudulenta. RNAcentral describes it as "partial 28S ribosomal RNA". It matches the Rfam family "Eukaryotic large subunit ribosomal RNA", at positions 186 to 475 of the family's 3401-position model. Lineage: Eukaryota; Bacillariophyta; Bacillariophyceae; Bacillariales; Bacillariaceae. The record is from RNAcentral.
UUCCUUGGAAAAGGACAGCUGAGAGGGUGAAACUCCCGUCCGCCUGGUAGAAUGAGUCUUUGUCAACGAGUCGAGUUGUUUGGGAUUGCAGCUCUAAUUUGGUGGUAAAUUCCAUCUAAAGCUAAAUAUUGGUGGGAGACCGAUAGCGUACAAGUACCGUGAGGGAAAGAUGCAAAGAACUUUGAAAAGAGAGUUAAAGAGUACCUGAAAUUGCUGAAACGGAAGCGAAGGAAACCAGUGUUUGUUGGCUCAUAUUUCCUUGGCCACUUGUGGUUUGGGCG